RNAcentral lists this ribosomal RNA (253 nucleotides) under uncultured bacterium. RNAcentral's name for it is "partial 16S ribosomal RNA". It matches the Rfam family "Bacterial small subunit ribosomal RNA", at positions 524 to 776 of the family's 1533-position model. The record is from RNAcentral.
UACGAAGGGUGCAAGCGUUACUCGGAAUUACUGGGCGUAAAGCGUGCGUAGGUGGUGAGUUAAGUCUGUCGUGAAAGCCCCGGGCUCAACCUGGGAAUGGCGAUGGAUACUGGCUCGCUAGAGUGCGGUAGAGGAGAGUGGAAUUCCCGGUGUAGCAGUGAAAUGCGUAGAGAUCGGGAGGAACAUCAGUUGCGAAGGCGGCUCUCUGGACCAGCACUGACACUGAGGCACGAAGGUCAGGGGAGCAAACGGG